This 406-nucleotide ribosomal RNA is filed under the name uncultured bacterium. RNAcentral's name for it is "partial 16S ribosomal RNA". It matches the Rfam family "Bacterial small subunit ribosomal RNA", at positions 30 to 526 of the family's 1533-position model. The record is from RNAcentral.
AUUGAACGCUGGCGGCAGGCCUAACACAUGCAAGUCGAACGAGUGGCGGACGGGCGAGCAAUGUCUGGGCAACUGCACGCUGGAGGGGGAUAACUGGUGGAAACGGUAGCCAAUACCGCAUACACUCGGAUGUGCCCUGAUGGGUUUAGCUAGAAGGUGGGGUAACGGCUCACAAAGUCGACGCUCCCCAGCUGGUCUGAGAGGCUGACCAGCCACACUGGAACUGAGACACGGUCCAGACUCCUACGGGAGGCAGCAGUGGGGAAUAUUGCACAAUGGGCACAAGCCUGAUGCAGCCAUGCCGCGUGUAUGAAGAAGGCCUUCGGAUUGUAAAGUACUUUCAGCGAGGAGGCGUUACUCACAGAGGAAGCACCGGCUAACUCCGUGCCAGCAGCCGCGGUAAUAC